RNAcentral lists this ribosomal RNA (290 nucleotides) under uncultured Desulfovibrio sp. Its description in RNAcentral is "partial 16S ribosomal RNA". It matches the Rfam family "Bacterial small subunit ribosomal RNA", at positions 1 to 276 of the family's 1533-position model. The record is from RNAcentral. Lineage: Bacteria; Pseudomonadati; Thermodesulfobacteriota; Desulfovibrionia; Desulfovibrionales; Desulfovibrionaceae.
UCGCCCUUAGAGUUUGAUCCUGGCUCAGAUUGAACGCUGGCGGAAUGCUUUACACAUGCAAGUCGAACGUGAAAGGGACUUCGGUCCUGAGUAGAGUGGCGCACGGGUGAGUAACGCGUAGGUAAUCUACCUCUGCAUCUGGGAUAACACCCCGAAAGGRAUGCUAAUACCGGAUACACUUAUGGGUCGCAAGACCUAUAAGGAAAGGAGACCUCUCCUUGGAAGUUUCUGUGUAGAGAUGAGCCUGCGUCCCAUUAGCUAGUUGGUAGGGUAAUGGCCUACCAAGGCGA